This 255-nucleotide ribosomal RNA is filed under the name uncultured bacterium. Its description in RNAcentral is "partial 16S ribosomal RNA". It matches the Rfam family "Bacterial small subunit ribosomal RNA", at positions 524 to 777 of the family's 1533-position model. The record is from RNAcentral.
UACGAAGGGGGCUAGCGUUGCUCGGAAUCACUGGGCGUAAAGGGUGCGUAGGCGGGUCUUUAAGUCAGGGGUGAAAUCCUGGAGCUCAACUCCAGAACUGCCUUUGAUACUGAGGAUCUUGAGUAUGGGAGAGGUGAGUGGAACUGCGAGUGUAGAGGUGAAAAUUCGUAGAUAUUCGCAAGAACACCAGUGGCGAAGGCGGCUCACUGGCCCAUUACUGACGCUGAGGCACGAAAGCGUGGGGAGCAAACAGGG